UCCUCCAUAGAUCAGUGGUUAGAGCGUCCAACCGGCACCUGGAAGGUCAUGGAUUAGAUUCCCGUUGGGGAGCUCAGAA
This 79-nucleotide transfer RNA is filed under the name Desmophyllum pertusum. Its description in RNAcentral is "tRNA-Ala". Lineage: Eukaryota; Metazoa; Cnidaria; Anthozoa; Scleractinia; Caryophylliidae. The record is from RNAcentral.